UUUGAUGGCGACCGGCGCACGGGUGAGUAACACGUAUCCAACCUGCCGAUGACUCGGGGAUAGCCUUUCGAAAGAAAGAUUAAUACCCGAUGGCAUAGUUCUUCCGCAUGGUGGAACUAUUAAAGAAUUUCGGUCAUCGAUGGGGAUGCGUUCCAUUAGGUUGUUGGCGGGGUAACGGCCCACCAAGCCUUCGAUGGAUAGGGGUCCUGAGAGGAAGGUCCCCCACAUUGGAACUGAGACACGGUCCAAACUCCUACGGGAGGCAGCAUG
Molecule: ribosomal RNA, 270 nt
Filed under: uncultured bacterium
Lineage: Bacteria
Description: partial 16S ribosomal RNA
Rfam family: Bacterial small subunit ribosomal RNA
Source: RNAcentral